GGGCGUUUGGUCUAUGGUAUGAUUCUCGCUUUGGGUACGAGAGGUCCCGAGUUCGAUUCUCGGAACGCCCC
RNAcentral lists this transfer RNA (71 nucleotides) under Datura stramonium (jimsonweed). Its description in RNAcentral is "tRNA-Pro". It matches the Rfam family "tRNA". From Rfam's summary of the family: Transfer RNA (tRNA) molecules are approximately 80 nucleotides in length. Their secondary structure includes four short double-helical elements and three loops (D, anti-codon, and T loops). The record is from RNAcentral. Lineage: Eukaryota; Viridiplantae; Streptophyta; Magnoliopsida; Solanales; Solanaceae.